RNAcentral lists this non-coding RNA (160 nucleotides) under Ditylum brightwellii. Lineage: Eukaryota; Bacillariophyta; Thalassiosirophyceae; Lithodesmiales; Lithodesmiaceae. The record is from RNAcentral.
AUAGUUAGCAUACCUACAGUAUCAAGAGGAAAGAGAGGAGGGAGGAGGAAGAAGAAGAAGACGAAAAGGAUAUAUACGACAAUCAUUUACAAUUAUAUUCAAGAUUUACAAUGAAAUUCUUUUUAUUUUCAUUAUCAACAAUUCUUCUGUCAUUAAUUUU